This 258-nucleotide ribosomal RNA is filed under the name uncultured bacterium. Its description in RNAcentral is "partial 16S ribosomal RNA". It matches the Rfam family "Bacterial small subunit ribosomal RNA", at positions 1234 to 1500 of the family's 1533-position model. The record is from RNAcentral.
CAGGUACAGAGGGAUGCUACCGGGCGACCGGAUGCGGAUCUCGAAAGCCUGUCCCAGUUCGGACUGGAGUCUGCAACCCGACUCCACGAAGUUGGAUUCGCUAGUAAUCGCGCAUCAGCCAUGGCGCGGUGAAUACGUUCCCGGGCCUUGUACACACCGCCCGUCAAGCCAUGGGAGCCGGGGGUGCUUGAAGUGCGUCGCCGCAAGGCGCGCCCUAGAGCAAAACCGGUGACUGGGGCUAAGUCGUAACAAGGUAAC